Papaver somniferum (opium poppy) is the source of this 2152-nucleotide long non-coding RNA. RefSeq lists it as uncharacterized. Lineage: Eukaryota; Viridiplantae; Streptophyta; Magnoliopsida; Ranunculales; Papaveraceae. The record is from RefSeq and is a predicted model, not a curated record. The transcript has 2 exons.
AUCAUUGCCAUAUCCUAAAAUGCAGAGAAGAAAUGAUUCCUCUUAUCAUUAUCUUUUCUUUCUCUGCCUGAAACUGAGAUGGCGGAUCCAUUAACGUUCAGAGGAUGGAGAUGAUGAGAAGAUUAGGAGGUCGAGAUUCAAAUGAAGAGGAUUUUGCUGGUGUUUAGACGAACAACACAGAGAGACCAAGAUUUGAAGAUGAUGAAACAGAAAUUAGAAGAAUUUGAAUCUAGGGUUUCUGAGAUUGAAUGUUUGAGAAGAGAAUGAAUAUGGGUUUCAGAAUCAAAGACUGUUGCUGUUGGAAUUACUGAGAUUGAAAGAAGUUGAAGAGAUGGGUAUGAAGAUGAUUAAUCUGCAAAUGGGUUUUAUGUGAUGGUGGAUGAUUGUAAUGGGUUAAGCUGCUGCUGAAGUUGGUUAUGAUGUUGUGUCAAGAAGUGGGUAUGAAAUUGAAGAUCUACUGGUGGAUUUAAGGUUACAGCAGAUCUGAGAUUAAAAUGGGUUCAACUGAUAUUUGAGUUUGGAUCGAGUUCUGGGUGUAUGCGCUGAAGGAGAUACUAAUGAGUCUGUGGAAUUGGUGGUGGUGUUGAAUCUGUUGCAUACAACAAAUGUAGUUGCAAGUGAUGUAUGCUCAGGUUUAAAAGGCAAUUGCAGGAAUGGCGAAAGAUGCAGCUGCAACUGAAGCUCAAGUUAAUGAUGUUUUUGAUGGCUUACUGAUGUUGUUGUUUACAAGGUCAAUAAUGGGUUUGAUUCUGUGAGUCUGAAGAUUCAAAUGAAGUUGGGGUUUGUUGUUAGAACUCAGAAAAAAAAGGAGAAGAAAUUGAAUGCAGUGAUAGUUGGAGUUGCAAAUGCAGAUAUGACUGGUCUUAAAGCUAUUGCAGUUGAUUUGAAGGGACAGAGAUGGAAGUUUCAACUGGUAUUGGAGCUGCCACUGUGACUGAUGGAUUUGGUAGAAGGGUUGCAAGCCAUGAGCUGAGAAGAUUGAUGAAUUGCAGUGGAUAUAGAGUUUGAGACAAAAUUGUUGGUGCUGCGGAAUGGUUUGUGGAGCAGUGGCGAUGGAAGUACUGAUACUAAUGGAGCUGCUGCCGUUUCUUUGAGCUAUAACGCAGAGAAGGUUGCAGUUGCAGUUUAUGAAGAAUGAAUGGAUACAUGACACAGGGGAUGAAUGUAUGAACUCGGUAUUGCAGGAUUGAAGCUGUAGAAAUGAUGUAGAGAUUGAACUGGUGGACAAGAAGGUGGAGCUGUUGGUGACAGUGGCUUGAGCACGGUGGAACUCAGUAUGUGCUUGAAUCUGGAGGUGCAGUUGCAGCAAAGAAUGAAAUUAAUGGGUUCUGGUGACUGAAGCGCUGAAAGAAUGGUGUUGGCCUGAGGAGAUUCAAGGGUUGUGAAAGCUGAGCAGUAAAGUGUUGUUAGUGACAACGAGCUGAAGAUGUUGAACCUUUGUUGAGCUGAAAUGAUGCUGGUGUUGUUUCGCAGAACCAACCUGCUUUUGAAAUGCUAUAAAUUGGCUGAAGUGGAGUUGUGAUGCACCACAAUGGUGCAACACAGAGGUUAUGGCUCAUGCAAGAUUGCUUAGGCCUGUGCAAAAUCACUUUGGCCUGGCACCUAGUCUACUCAUCCAAACAAGACACCCUGACUCGGUCUUAACUCGACCGACUCAUCUUAACUCGGUUGACCUGACCGAGCUGACUCGUUGACCGGUGACCAGGUGGACUUUGCCGGUCACCUGAGAUAUUUUCCGGCAACUUCCGGCACUGCACCAGUUUUCUGGCGACAUAUUUUUGGCAAGAUUUUUACAUGGGUUUCUCACGCACAUGGGCUUGUUGGAUCACUUGGACUUUGGGCUUUGAAAACCUAGUUUUGGAAAGAAGAAAAGCUACAAAAGGAAAAUUUUCUACUUCUUUGUGGAUGACGUAUUUUUCUAUUGGGAGCUUUGGAGAAAGGCGACUAGGGUUUGAUUUCAUUUUUCAUCUUCUUCAUUUUUAUUAUUGAUUAUGAUGAACUCAAAAGCUAUGAGUAGCUAAACUCAUAUUCUUGGUUAUGAGAUAAAGUGGAUUUCACAAAUGAUAUUUGCAUCUAUGAAUUAGUUUUGUCUCAAUAAUUUAUUGUUUAUGGUUCACAAUUAAUAGUGUUAUAUAGUUUGAAUGCUUGUUUA